UGUUUAUUCGGAUGACUCCGCCAGCACCGUAUGAGAAAUCAAAGUUUUUGGGUUCCGGGGGGAGUAUGGUCGCAAGGCUGAAACUUAAAGGAAUUGACGGAAGGGCACCACCAGGCGUGGAGCCUGCGGCUCAAUUUGACUCAACACGGGAAAACUUACCAGGUCCAGACGUAGGAAGGAUUGACAGAUUGAUAGCUCUUUCUUGAUUCUUAUGGGUGGUGGUGCAUGGCCGUUCUUAGUUGGUGGGUUGCCUUGUCAGGUUGAUUCCGGUAACGAACGAGACCUCAGCCUGCUAAAUAGUCACGGCUGCAUCCGCAGCUGGCAAACUUCUUAGAGGGACUGUUGGCGACUAGCCAACGGAAGUAUGAGGCAAUAACAGGUCUGUGAUGCCCUUAGAUGUUCUGGGCCGCACGCGCGCUACACUGAUACGUUCAACAAGUUCCUUGGCUCGAAAGGUCUGGGUAAUCUUUGAAACCGUAUCGUGAUGGGGAUAGAACAUUGCAACUAUUGUUCUUCAACGAGGAAUGCCUAGUAAUCGCGAGUCAUCAUCUCGCGUUGAUUACGUCCCUGCCCUUUGUACACACCGCCCGUCGCUCCUACCGAUUGGAUGUGCUGGUGAAGACUUCGGAUCGGCCACGCUAACUAGGUCUUCCUAGUUGUGGGGUUGAGAAGUUGUUUAAACCCUCCCAUUUAGAGGAAGGAGAAGUCGUAACAAGGUUUCCGUAGGUGAACCUGCGGAAGGAUCA
This 746-nucleotide ribosomal RNA is filed under the name uncultured eukaryote. Its description in RNAcentral is "SSU rRNA". It matches the Rfam family "Eukaryotic small subunit ribosomal RNA", at positions 1061 to 1828 of the family's 1831-position model. The record is from RNAcentral.